AGACACCAUUGCCAGGAACCAUGCCACACCAUACCAGUCAGUGAGCCAGGCUGGUUCUUCUUAUCGCAAAAGAUCAAAUGGCCAGGAACAUGAGUCAUCUGCAGAUUCCUGCUAAUGAGCAGAGCCCCGCAAGAGGGUUGACAAGACUGAAGCCCAGAGUUCUUUGUCCAUGAAUGUUGGACAAGAAUGAGCAGCCCCUGCUUCUCUUAACUUCGAAUCUGCUUUAGCAGAAAGAGCCUAAUGGAAAAGCAUGCCCUGCACUUCUGUUUUCCGUGAGGAGCCAGAAGUCAUCAGCAAAGCUGCAGCCCAAGAUGAGAGAAGCCAUUCGCCUCCUGGGGCCUCCAUGGAGGGAAUGCCUUUGAGAUGACAAGAGCUGGGGUGUAGGAGGAAGGUCAUUUUUGGUGGCCAAGAGAACCGCCUGUGCUGGUGGAAAAGCGCUGGACCUGCUGCCCAGCACCACAGCCGACAGCAGCAAAUGGCCACUGAACACUUCAAAAUGUGGGGACUCUCGCCCAUUUCCCACAGACCUAUAUACCCUGCCUGCAAACCUGACUGAAAGGCCCACACACCACACCAGAGAGAUGUGGAGGGAUGGAGCAUUCGUCAUAGACAGCAUUGGAGCCCCCAUCCCGGAACCCUGAGCAUGCCUGCAGGUUAUCAGUGGAUGCCUCACCUUAGAAAAGUCCCGUAAAACUGAGGAAGAUUGUGGGAGAUAUCCUUGGGGGUCAUCUAGACCAGCACUCCAGCCUGCCCCAAAUCUACAGAUGAAAAAAGCAAAGUCCAGAGAAGUAACGUCUCAAGGUCACACAAGUCAGUCCCUAUCAACGUCAGCACUAAAAUCAAGGCCUCCUAAAACCAGUCGGAUCAUUGUUCCAUUACAGCAUAUGGUAAUUCUUGUUAGAUGGAAAACAGAAAUAUUUAGAAGGUCCUAGGAGGGUCUUAUUUCUUGAAUGGAAAGUGAAGACUUGACAUUCUUUAAGACUGCUGGUCAACUCCAGACAAGCUGUAUUAAAUAAUGAAGUGGGAACAGAGACUGUGAAAAAUCUAAGGGGAGGAAAAAAAAGAAUCUUUAAAAAAACGCUAUAGAUUUCAAAGCACUUAGAAUUACUAUUUUCCUUUCAUAUCUUUGGCUCCUUCUUCUAUUCUGGGUCCUAGUCAAAUGUUAGUUUUACUGGAGUGUUCUAUCGAGGCCAAAUUAACACCCAAACUGGAAUUAAUACUCAUCUUUGUUCUGCAAAUUCAGACUCCCAGACAUCACAGAGGUGCUGAACACAUUUUAACACUCAGGGACAUUUACACCAGAGAAAUACAUCAAUUUACAAAAAAGUAUGCGCCUCAAAACCCAACUCAUACUGGCGGCCAGAAAGCAGUUUCCCUCCACCCGCGUCCUCUUCCUCCACUCCCUCCAUCCUGUUGGACCUCCCGUGCACUGGACUACCUGGCCCACUCUGGGACUGUUGCAGCACGAGCAACUUUAGUGCCAUGCUCUUAAUUCCUCAAACACCAUUACCUCUCUUUAUGCUUAGCCCCAAGGUGGGAAGAAGGAAAUAAAUCUUGUUCCUUGUGGGAUGUCACAUCCUUGGGCAUUCUGGGGCCUUCCAUGCCAGGCCUCCAAGCCCUGGUGCGCCAAGGCUCAACAUGGCUGAAUACAGGGUUCCAUUUCAUCUUGGCGGAGACACGGACUUUCCACACACAAAUUAACAUUGUUUCAUCUCAUUUUGACACCAUAAUGUCUUUUCCAUACACCUGCUCUGACGUUUUCAUGAAAUCAAUGCAUCCCAAUCAACUGAGUAGGGAAUUAGCAUUGUUACACCAAACAUUCUGAAAAGUGUGGGUUAUUUUUCAUAUCUAAAUAUCUCAUCCCCAUAUGCUGCUUUGGAAAGAUAAAUUCAAGAUCUAACAUACCGCAAAUUUAAAAUUCUAAAAUAUGCAUAUUUGAUUUUACAAUCCCCUUAUUGGCAACAUGUGCCAUGCAAAGCUGUAUUCAUGCUUGGGUAAAUGGGUAACUUUUAAAAUAAAUCAAAUCUAGGAUUU
Long non-coding RNA from Pongo pygmaeus (Bornean orangutan), 2034 nucleotides. RefSeq lists it as uncharacterized. Lineage: Eukaryota; Metazoa; Chordata; Mammalia; Primates; Hominidae. The record is from RefSeq and is a predicted model, not a curated record. The transcript is spliced from 4 exons.